This 497-nucleotide ribosomal RNA is filed under the name uncultured bacterium. RNAcentral's name for it is "partial 16S ribosomal RNA". It matches the Rfam family "Bacterial small subunit ribosomal RNA", at positions 28 to 507 of the family's 1533-position model. The record is from RNAcentral.
GAUGAACGCUGGCGGCGUGCCUAAUACAUGCAAGUCGAGCGAACAGACGAGGAGCUUGCUCCUCUGACGUUAGCGGCGGACGGGUGAGUAACACGUGGAUAACCUACCUAUAAGACUGGGAUAACUUCGGGAAACCGGAGCUAAUACCGGAUAACAUGUUGAACCGCAUGGUUCAACAGUGAAAGACGGUCUUGCUGUCACUUAUAGAUGGAUCCGCGCCGCAUUAGCUAGUUGGUAAGGUAACGGCUUACCAAGGCAACGAUGCGUAGCCGACCUGAGAGGGUGAUCGGCCACACUGGAACUGAGACACGGUCCAGACUCCUACGGGAGGCAGCAGUAGGGAAUCUUCCGCAAUGGGCGAAAGCCUGACGGAGCAACGCCGCGUGAGUGAUGAAGGUCUUCGGAUCGUAAAACGCUGUUAUUAGGGAAGAACAAAUGUGUAAGUAACUAUGCAUGUCUUGACGGUACCUAAUCAGAAAGCCACGGCUAACUACGUG